GGGCCAUCAUACCAUGGGACACAUAAUGUCAACCAGGUAUGCAACAGAAUGACUAAAAAGUCAUGAUAGCAAUCUGGCAUAAAGCCAUAUACAUCAUAAUGCAACAGAAUAGCUAGAAGUCAUAAUCAAUAGAAUGACAUAAAAGCCAUAAUCACAGAAUGGCAUAAAGUCAUAGGCAGUACUGCAAAACAGAACCCUUCUUAGCAUGCCAAUCUAUCCACCCCAUACACACAUGUUUAGGCAUACAUAGGCAAAUUAGUAUCAUUAUGUAUUUACAAUUCUCGUUAAUUCAUCGCAUGUAAUAUUCUUUUCUCAUAGUGUCAUCAUUCCAUCCAUGAUGGUAUUUCAACAUUCUCACUUUUCAUCAUUAUGUAUCAUUCAUUUAUCAUGAUAUUAUCAUUUCAAUCAUAAUG
This 413-nucleotide unclassified non-coding RNA is filed under the name Hevea brasiliensis (rubber tree). The record is from RNAcentral. Lineage: Eukaryota; Viridiplantae; Streptophyta; Magnoliopsida; Malpighiales; Euphorbiaceae.